Molecule: ribosomal RNA, 115 nt
Filed under: Diaphorina citri (Asian citrus psyllid)
Lineage: Eukaryota; Metazoa; Arthropoda; Insecta; Hemiptera; Psyllidae
Source: RNAcentral
GCCAGGCGCGAUAGCACGCUGAAUGCAACAGUCCUCGAUACAUCACUGAAGUUAAGCAACGUUGCGCGUGGUUGGUAUCCGGAUGGGUGACCAUCUGGACAAUCGCGUGCUGGCU